GGGAUUCCUUUCUGGGGUAUAGUGCAGUCAGGUACAACUACCGAACUGUGUCCGUUUUUAGUUCCAUGAAUUCAGCAUCGAACUCCGCUGUGCGUUUGCGUGUUUAAAAUGGCCGCGACCUCGUGUUCGUUAUACGAAUGGCAGCCACCCAGUAUUCGUCAAUUAAGCUGCGGUUAACCGCAGCUUCUGGGAGGCUAAUUGCCGGCACACUCCAGCUCCCAGGUGGUCUAGUCAUUCGUGUGGUUGUUCGGUAGAUUGAAUCUACCGAACACCGGGCAGAAAAGCACGAAUAAGUCUUUUAUGCAGGGGAAACAAAGUCUUUUAACAUGGGGCCAUAAUCCAGAGGUAGCAGGCGAGCAACCAGGCUUCUCCAAUGCAAUGUGGCGAGAUUGCUCUCGUCACAGAAAGCAUUACUUAAUGCUUUCCUACGGACGUCUAGCAUCUUGUCACUGUGAUUUUCACAGUGAGAAUUGCGGAAGCGCCUCUAGCGGCUGUCAGUGAAACAGCCAAUAGAGGCUGGAUUAACCCUAAGUGUUUUCAGCUGCAAGGUUAAAACUGAAGGGACCUGGCACCCAGACCACUUCAUUGAGCUGAAGUGGUCUGGGUGACUAUAAUGGUCCUUUAAUCUUAAACCACUCUAUUCAUUCGGUGCAAAUCUUCCCCAACACACAUUUCAUUUACUUAUUUUUGUUUGCCGCUUUCAUCGAAGCUGUACUUUUCAGUCUCAUGUAGAGAAAAAUACAACUGGGAAAAGACUGGACUGAGAAACCUGUCCAGCUAUUAAAAAAAUGGAGAGGGAGAGCAGCUGCAUAUUUAAAAAAAAAACAUGGCCACACAAGUAUAGUUAAUAUUCCAGGUUUAUUGGCAAACCAUUAUAUAGACAAUCAGGCACGGUGGGUGGGCCUGCUCUUGCAAGCUGUCAGAACAACACUACAUUAACAGAUUUAUUUAACCAAUCAUUGUUAACAGGAGUAGUCCCAGAAGAUUGGAAGUUAGCAAAUGUUGUGCCCAUUUACAAGAAAGGUAAUAGGGAGGAGUCGGGCAACUAUAGGCCAGUAAGCCUUACUUCAGUAGUGGGGAAAGUGAUGGAAACCAUGUUAAAGGAUAGGAUUGUUGAACAUCUAAAAACACAUGGAUUUCAAGAUCAGAGACAACAUGGG
Pelobates cultripes (western spadefoot toad) is the source of this 1160-nucleotide non-coding RNA. The record is from the annotation of a GenBank genome assembly. Lineage: Eukaryota; Metazoa; Chordata; Amphibia; Anura; Pelobatidae.